Astatotilapia calliptera (eastern happy) is the source of this 2617-nucleotide long non-coding RNA. Lineage: Eukaryota; Metazoa; Chordata; Actinopteri; Cichliformes; Cichlidae. The record is from Ensembl.
GCGGGAGGAGAGCGUGAGAGAGAGGAAGAGAGAGAGAAAGCGGCAAGCAGAAAGCUCAUAGCUAAGGAGCGAGAGCAGCAUCAGAAGAAGAGGAUCGCUUUAAAAAGGACAAAAUAAGGAAAAAACAAAAAAGGAAACUCACCAGUCCUGCUGAUGGUCAUACGUCAACUUUAAGUGGCUAAAAUCUCAGUGAGUAGGAGAGAGAGAGAAAAGUAAAUUCAUCACCACCAUGAAGCUGUGGAGCCGUGUCUGCUUCCUCGUUCUAGCAGUUUCUCCUAUUUGCCUGGGACAAAAUGGUACAAGUCAUGAGCAACCCAACGCCUGGAGGCACAGUGGCUACUACUCUAACAAGUACUAAUGUACCAACAAAAGAGACUACCAGCAUAGUCACACAAGGAGGAGCACACCGUGGUGGUAAAAUGACUCAAACAACACCAAGUACCAGCUCAGGAACUACAGCACCCCCUCCACCUGGCUCGUCUGCAGGUUAUGUUGUCCUGGCGCUUAUCAUCAUAGUGAUUAUAAUUCUGUGUAUCAUCCUCUACCUCUUGAGGCGAGCCUCCAGGACAUAUUCAUUUGACCUCCAGCGUCCAAAUCCUGUUGGUCAUCUCAACCAGCCCACUGGCACCUUUGAGCCAGUCUACCUGGAUGAUCUGGAGCGACCGGUACCUAAAGAUAUUGAAGCCACCGAUGACCUUUCACCUCCACCGGUCGCUAAUGGCACGAGUCUACAGUCGGAGGAAAAGGACUCCACUGGAGAGAACGCUCCUGAGGAACAGCCAGAAGCAAAUGGUGUGGAGACUUCACCCGCUGAAAACACCACUCCCUCACUGAGUAGCGAUGAAGCUGACAAGAUAUCCAACCCACCGAGCAGUACCAGCCUUUUCUUUGAUGCUAUUGGGGAGCAGCAGAAUGAAAACAACAACAACCCAACAGUUUGCUCCAGUGACCCAUUUGUUGAAAUAAACCUGGACGAGCCGGCAUGGUGUGAUCAGCUCCUCAAUUCUUCUGAAGGUUCUUCCUCGGUCUUCCCCUUCUCUCCAUUCUCUUUAUCCUCCUCUUCCUCUUAGCACUUUGAAUGUUAUCCUCUUCCAUCAACAUAUAGGCAGAGAUUGUCUUUCGUAGCACAUGGACAUGAGCACAACAUGUGUUUUUUUUCCCAAAGCUAGUAUGGAUUGUGAAGUGAACAACCAAGGAAUUAACAUCAACCUGUAAACAUGAAGCUAGCUUUAACUGAUUUCUUAUUGUGUUUUUAUAUGUUUUUGUUCAAAUUUAUUGGUCUCAUUUAGUAUUUUUUCUAAGACUAUAUGAAGGACUUUAAACUGAUUUUAAUUGAAUUGUUUGAAACUGAGCAAUUUGGGAAGCUCAAAGAGGCAGUCCAAAAUUGCAUCGAAGAAAAAGAAGGAUUGAAGAAAUGUUAAUCACAACUUUUCCUGCAUUUAACUGACUUAUUAUUAUUGUUGCCUAACCACACUGCAAACUUCAUACCAAAGGAAGUAAAAUAAGCAAGGUAGCUUAUUUGUGACAUCUAGACUAAGCAAUAACGCCUGAACUUUUUUUUUUUUUCCAAAUGUCAUCACUUCAUGAGCGUAUAGAUUGGCUGCAGUUCCUCUCAGAUCUAACAUCCUUUGAAGUAGGCUAAAGUUUUCUCAGAAGAGAUGUUUGGUUUUAAGUCAGAUUAUUUUUGGGGAAAUUAGUGUGUACAAAGUACUCAUAUAGGAAACAGUUGAUUAACUUUUUGUACAGUUUAAUAUUGCAAUAAUAAGUUAUGGUUGUAAUCCCAAGACGCAAAUGGACAUACACAAGAAUGAUGCUUCAUUUGGGAACCACAUCUCAUUACCAAUAAACAUAAAACUAGCUUUAACGCUUCCUUAUGAUUUUUUUGUUUGUUUUAUACAUUAUCAGCACAUCAAACUUAAAUCAAAUGAGUUUUUUCCUAAAAUGUAGCAUUUUUCUACUUCAUUUUAUUUACUAAAGCAUCAUAAAACAAGAUUAAAGUUAACUUUAGCAGUGACAACUGUUACUCUCAAAUUAUCGAUGUAGGCUAGUUUCCCCUAAACCUACAGGGAGAUUUGUGAAAUCUCUGAACUAUAAAAAUACACUCUGUGUCAUAAUUGCUGUAAAUAUUUUUGUACACGAUAUAUUUUUUUUAGUAGAAUACUGUGAAUUAUUCACAUUUAUUCAAGUUCUAUAUUUUAAUUUUGUGACUCUGGAGGUUUCCAUUCUACUAGAUGUUUAAAUGCUUUCGUUUCUUUUAACCUACAUUUAUUUUGUCAUUUUUUUAAUAAACUGGUUUCUUUUCAGAAGCUAACUAAAUAUACAUUUCACCACUGCCAUUUUCCUCAAAGUGCUAAUUCAAACUGAUAUAUAAAUAUAUAAUUUUCUGACUAAUGUUAAAAAAAACAAACAUUGAGAAGUGUUACUUUGUUUCAUGUUAAAAAUCAAAUUGAUUCAAAUAAAACUAUUUUUUUUUCAGAAUUUCACUGUUAUCCCUUCUUCAUUCUUUUUAUUAUCCUGAUGGUUAAAAUGUCUCUCACUUAACUAAUUUUUGGGUUUAAUUCCAUUUGCUGCCUUACUCACACCAAACCUUUUCAGAAAGUCAUCUGUAUAUUCUUUG